RNAcentral lists this long non-coding RNA (1041 nucleotides) under Anas zonorhyncha (Eastern spot-billed duck). RNAcentral's name for it is "lncRNA (ENSAZOG00000011224.1)". Lineage: Eukaryota; Metazoa; Chordata; Aves; Anseriformes; Anatidae. The record is from RNAcentral.
AUGGGGGGCAGAGGGGGCAGGUUGGGGUGCUCAGCCCCAUUCCAUCCCCUCGCCCCAGGGCGCAGACAACCCAAACCUCUCCAAAAGCAUCCCCUCGGGGUGGGGGGACCCCAGCCAUGCAGGUGUCCCCCCCGUCCUCACCACUGGGGCCAGCCAGACCCAGGCCCCAAACCCUGCACCUUGUGCUCGGGGUCCGGCAGGAGCAGCUGGAGGGGAAACGAAGAAGAAAGAGGAAAGAAGGAGAUUGAUGUGCAGUUUCACGUUGCACCACAGCCACUUCAUUUUAUGCCCCAGCGACGCUGCGUCAGGUUCAGCAAAUUGCUGCGUCGCCUUCUCCUUCCCCUGCCAUUUCCCCCCCACACCGCAGCUCCCAUUUCAAGCUGGGACAAGAGGACAGGGGGCGGCCCUGAGGGGGUCCCCUGGGACCACCAGGAAGGAGCCCUGGCUCCAAGGGCGCAGCUCCAGCAGCCGAGGGUCCCGGCCUCGCUGUCCCGUUUCAUUUUGGCCACCCGCGUGCAGCAGUCGGGUUUUCCUCCUCCUCCUCCUGAGGGUCCCCCCAAAGAGCCCCGCACCCUGCAGCCAUCCCAUCCCGCUCCCCGCAGCCUCUCCGCUCACAGGACAGGAGCAGAAAGCCCAGGAGCUGCCAGCAGCCUGCCCCCCCCAGCCAGCUGGGGCACCCAGGGACCUGCCAGCGCUGUCCUCCACCCCCUGUGCCAGCAGGGAUGCCCACGGCCCCGCAGCCAAACCAGGGGCACCACGCGCCCUCUCCAGCUUUGGUCUACCCUUUCCCUCCACGUCCUGGCCCCGUCCCCAUCCCCAGGCACAGGGAGACCCUUCCCCAGGAGGGGGGUAAAUAGGGGCACACCAGUUUGGCACCAUCCCACCAGUGCCCCCAGAGCAGCCAGCACGCAUGGAUUACCCCACCCUGGGGGCUGCGCUUUGGGCAGGGGUCCGGGGAUGCUGCUGGUGCUGCUGGCUCGGUCUUCCCCAUUUUGCUCCAGGUCAAACCUCACCAAAACCCUUAUUAAAGAGCUCCUCUAA